This 392-nucleotide ribosomal RNA is filed under the name uncultured bacterium. RNAcentral's name for it is "bacterial SSU rRNA". It matches the Rfam family "Bacterial small subunit ribosomal RNA", at positions 30 to 423 of the family's 1533-position model. The record is from RNAcentral.
AUUGAACGCUGGCGGCAUGCCUUACACAUGCAAGUCGAACGGCAGCACGGGAGCAAUCCUGGUGGCGAGUGGCGAACGGGUGAGUAAUAUAUCGGAACGUGCCCAGUCGUGGGGAUAACGUAGCGAAAGCUACGCUAAUACCGCAUACGAUCUACGGAUGAAAGCGGGGGAUCGCAAGACCUCGCGCGAUUGGAGCGGCCGAUAUCAGAUUAGGUAGUUGGUGAGGUAAAGGCUCACCAAGCCGACGAUCUGUAGCUGGUCUGAGAGGACGACCAGCCACACUGGGACUGAGACACGGCCCAGACUCCUACGGGAGGCAGCAGUGGGGAAUUUUGGACAAUGGGCGCAAGCCUGAUCCAGCAAUGCCGCGUGCAGGAUGAAGGCCUUCGGUU